Molecule: long non-coding RNA, 840 nt
Filed under: Sinocyclocheilus grahami
Lineage: Eukaryota; Metazoa; Chordata; Actinopteri; Cypriniformes; Cyprinidae
Description: lncRNA (ENSSGRG00000031547.1)
Source: RNAcentral
UUCAGAUGACACACCACAAGUGAUAAGACGAAAAGGUUUGUGUCAAUAUUCAUUCAUUCACUACUCAAUACCUCUGUUAAUAUAUAAUAUAAUAUGUUAAUCUAUCAAUAUUCCUAAAUCUUCUCCAGGAGAAUUUCUGCCCCCUAUGGAAAAAGUUCUUGAACAAGUGAAAGAAGCCAAACAGAAAAAAGCUAGAGAGGAGAUAUACAAAAUCAUUCAAGGUGAAUGGUUUGUUGUUUUCUUCAGUGCUUGCACACUGUAAAAUACAGUGCUUGUGCAGAAUGAAAACUGCAAUUUAAGAGAAAACUGAUAGAACUGUGACUCAUUAUCUUUUCUGUUCUUCCAGAUAUGCGGGAGAAGAAGGCUGAUGGUGAAGAGGAAGAGAUAACACUACAACAAAUAAACAUAACAGUAGAAAAAGUCAAGAAAAAAAAAGAACAUGAGAAAAAGGAGAUAGAAAAGGCUAAAAGCAAAGAUAAAUCCAAAGAGGACAAGACUCGAGAACCAACAAAAAAGGACACCAAGAAAAAACCUGACAAAAAGGUCAAGGUGACUAAAGUGGUUGAGGAACCUCCUCUAAAAAAGAAGAAAUCUGGACCUGAGAAAAAGGUUAAACAAGCAAAGAAAGAUGUUGAGGUGGCCAAGGACAAAAUCAAAGCAGUACCUGUAAAGAAAGAAGCUGAAGUGGCCAAAAAAGAGACCAAACCAGCACCAUCUAAGAAAGAGCCCAAAGUUACAAAAGAAAAGGCCAAACCAGCUCGUUCAAAGAAAGAAAAAGCUGAUGUUAUCAAAGAAAAGGCAAAACCAGCUCCAAAAGAAAAGGGUAUGCUUGUGCUGUAA